AUUUUAACAUUUGUCGUGGCCGCACGGAAUGGCACGGAAUUGUGAACGCAAUUAAGUUUUAAAAUAUAUCCGAAAUAUGCACAAUAAUUUAAAUUAUUGUGCAUUGCACUAUUUAACCGCUUGACCCUGUUAACCCUAAAAUAGUGUCUACAAUUUGCGCUUAACUAGAAACAAACCAGUAGAAGCAGAAGCCGCAGCAGCAGCGGAAGUAGCAGCCCCAGCGACGCGCAAAUGGAUAAAAUGUUUGUUUUUAAUGUUAAGCGAAAGCUAAGAAUCAAAAAAGUGUGAUAAAUGCUAACAGGCAACAACAGAAAACCGAAAAAUUGUUUUGCAAGCGUGUAAGAAAAACGGCCGAGAGAACGCGCCAGCCUGCAUGCGUGUGUGUGUGUGCCUGUCUGUCUGCAAGUGUGUGUGUGUUAUGUGUAUGUGUGAGCGGGAGCUUGAGUGUGUGAGUGUGCAGUGAAGUGCAAAAGAAACACGAUAAAAAAAAAUACAAAAAAUAAAGGAGAAGAAAAAAAUAACACGCCAGCCAUGCAGUUGCGCCCGUUUUAGCUGAUAAAGCGUACAAAAUACAAAAAGCACACACAAAGCAGUAGGCACGAAACGAGUGAAAAUAGAAAAUUAAUAAUUAGCAAGAAGAAGCAGCAGCACACACACAGCAACGCAAAGCAAAUUGUAAGUGAUCAGUGCUAAAACAAACAACACAAACAACAAAUUGAAUGAGCAACUUUUUUCUAUAAAUAGUGCAAAUCAAAAUUCUCGGUGCAGCGGCCAGUUUCGAUUGAUCGCAAAUACAAUUACAGUUGCAAUAACAACAAUAAUAAUAACAAAUUGCAGAUAACAAACAAAAAUAAAUAAAAGUGAAAACAACUGCAACGCUGUUGCAGAUAAAUUGAAAAAGAAGUAAGAUAAAAUUAAAAAAAAGAGUUAGUACUGCAAAACGGCAAAAUGUCAACGCUGGACGUGCCCAACAAUUCGGCAAUGAUGAAGCGGGCCGAGCAGCUGAAGCGCUGGGAGGAGUCGGACACAAAUCGCGCCGCUCCGACACCCCGCCGUACGCAUAACGGCCGUCACAUCAAGUUCAGCUCCGGCUGCGUUUUUCUCGCUGCCUGCCUCUCUGGGGAUAAGGAUGAUGUGCUGCAGCUGAUCGAUGAUGGCGCCGAUAUCAACACUGCUAAUGUGGAUGGCCUUACAGCGUUGCAUCAGGCUUGCAUCGAUGACAAGCUCGAAAUGGUUGAGUUCUUAGUGACACAUGGAGCCGAUAUUAAUCGUCAGGACAACGAGGGAUGGACACCGCUACAUGCAACAGCCUCCUGCGGCUUUGUGAGCAUAGCACAGUAUCUGGUGGAGAACCAUGCCGAUGUGGCUGCUGUGAAUAGUGAUGGAGAUUUGGCGCUGGAUUUGGCAAUUGAUGUGCAACAUAUGCCCAUGAUUGACUACAUGGAAAAGGUGGUGCAGGAGCUAAAUAUUGAUGUGGAUCAGGCGCGCAAGGCGGAGGAGAAGGCCAUGCUCAAUGAUGCAAAUAAAUGGCUGCUUAGCGAUGCCACUGAAGUGGAUCGACCGAAUCCAAAAACUGGUGCAACGGCGCUACAUGUGGCAGCUGCCAAGGGCUAUACGAAUGUGCUGAGUCUGUUGCUCGCCGGACGUGCCAAUGUCGAUAGACAGGAUAAUGAUGGCUGGACGCCGUUGCAUGCCGCUGCACACUGGGGCCAAAAGGAGACAGCUGAAAUGCUGGUGGAGUCAUGGGCCAACAUGGAUAUACGCAAUUAUGCUGGCCAAUCCUGCAUCGAUGUCGCCGAUCGCAAAAUGGUCAAAUUCCUGGAAGAAUUGCGUGCCAACAAACGCAACAAGCGGCGUCCCUCUAGUCAAAUCAGCAGAAUCUCAGAUGCGAUUGAAAAUCAUGUGGACAAAACACCAACGAAACUUGUACGCGUUGAAGUGAGAACUGAUGCCGCUAAGGAUGCUGAAAAUGUUAAGCCCAAUCAACAAAUUCAUGCCGCCGAACACUCUGUGGAGGAUGAGGCGCCCUGGCGACGCAAAACGCUCCGCACGCCCAACGACAGUCCCACUAAGAAUCAAGUUCCUGACAAAGAGCUGAGCGGCAAAAGCGGCAAUGAAAGCGCCAACGAUGUCAUCUUGCGACGCACGCACAGCUUUGAGAAUGAUCAAAAAUUCUAUCAAAAGUACAAUGAGCUGCGGGCACGCAUUAAGGCGAAUUCAUGUCCCAUACUGCUAGCGACGACGGCGAAUGCUCUGCCCGGCAAUGCCAAUAACAACAAUAACCAAAGUAGCAAUAACAACAAUAAUAAUAACAAUAAUAACAUCAACAACAAUAAGAGUCUGCUGCUGUUGGGACAAACUGCAAACACAACUGGCAUCAGCAGCAGCAACAACUAUAACAACACAUCAACAUCAAGCACAACAAACACCACAACAACAUUCAACACACACACCAACAACACAACAACAGCAGCAGCAGCAACAACAACUGCAACAGCAGCAACUACAACAUCAAUAACAUCUACAGCAAAUCCAAGUCUAACUUAUAGCGUACAAAGAUCGGCCUCCCUCAAAGAUAACUCUGUGUAUUUCAGAAAACCGAUUGCUCCAGUUGCGAUGCUUAAUGCAGCGACAACAACAACACCAACAACAACAGUGCUCAGCUCACCCUCAACAACUGUGCAUACCCCACCAAUACGCAGCAAUCCGGCUGCCCAAAGCAGCAGCAACAGCAACAACAAUGGCAGCACAACGGCAAGUGCCGUUGCCAGCGAAGUGGAGACUCCAAAACCUAAACAAUCGGCGGGCAAUAUAUUCAAAAACUUUUUCAAAUCCUUUGUGCCUCCAGUGCGCGACGAGGAAAGCGAAACGCAGCGUAAAGCGCAUGCGAAGCGAGUGCGAGAGACGCGUCGUUCCACACAGGGUGUCACCCUCGAUGAGAUCAAGAGUGCCGAGGAGCUGGUCAAGAAGAAGAAUCUGGGCAUGAAUAAGAACAACAAUAACAAUAACAACAACAGCAGCAGCUUCAAGCUGGAGGAUAUUACCAGCGGUGGCACAUACCCGCCCAAUCAGAGCACCAUCAUACCAAGUGCGCCGGCUGUCAUGGCAGCUGUUAACUUGGCCAACACAGCCGGAGCACAACGUCGCAUCAGCAGUGGCCCCAAUGCGCUAAAUGCUUCCAAUCAAUCGCUCAACUCUGUCGGACGUCCUGUCUCUGCGCCUAGUGAGACGAUUAAUAAUAGCGCCUAUAUGACGCCUCCAGCCCGCAGAUAUGAGACGACAUCUGCUGCCACAACAACUGCCACGACAACAGCUAACAACUCCGCGUCUGCAGCAGCCAGUGCCAACCAUGCAACGGCUUCCAGUGCUACAACCAGCCAUGUUGAUAAGGAUAACGACAAGGAGAACGAUAAUCGCACACAGACUGUCAUACAGCGGCGUCGCAAGCCCAAGCGCAGAUCCACGGGUGUGGUGCAUCUCGAUAUGGAUGAGCUUGAUCCGGAGCGUCAACACGAAUCGGCCAACAAUGACAACGAUGAGAAGGAAAAGGAGAGCGGCAGUGAACGCACGUCGCGCUCUCGCACCGCAAGCACAGCAACAACAAGCGCCGCCAGCGAUUCGAAGAGCACGAGCAGCAGCGACAAGGCGGAAAAUGGAGACGGCAUUGACUAUAAGGCGCUCUGGGAAGCGGCCAAAAUGGAGAACGACAAACUCAAGCAAAUGCUCAAGCAGAAGGACGACGAAGUUGUACAGACGCGUGCGACGCUCGAACGCUUUGCCAAUGCCACAACUAAAAAUUCACUCUCUGAGAUUGAGAAGCGUGAAAGAAGAGCUAUGGAACGCAAGCUUUCCGAAUUGGAAGAAGAGCUCAAGCUCUUGCAGAAGCUAAAGACUGAGAACGACCGUCUGCGUGCGGAGAAUCGUGCACUCACGCGAGUUGUCUCUAAGUUGACCACCUCGGCACAGAGUCAACUGGCCAAAAGCAAAUAGGCUUCUUCUAUCGAGAGUUGAAUCAUUUUGUUAGCAUCACACGGCGACAAUAUCGCUCGAAUAUCGUAAUCGUACUCGUACUCGUUAUCGUAAUCGCAAUCGUUAUCGUUUCUAUAUACUUCUAUACCAUAUACUCGUACAGCAUACAUACAAUACAAUACAAACGUACAUUACAUACUCGUACAUAGUUAAUUACAAUAUCGUAAAUAUUAUAUCGUAAACUGGGACAACAAUUGAUACUAUAUACAACUUAUUAGACUUUAAUAAUAAUAUACGUGUACUUAUUACUACAUAAAUACUAUACUAUAUAAACAAUAUAAACAUUUGCAUUGUUAUUGAGCGCAACGUAUAACAACAAUUAAAUGUAUUUUCUAGCUUAAUUAAGGUCACGAUUUUUGGUGCACAUUUUCAUAAAUACUCAAAAUUUGGCAGGCAAUUUCUAUUUUUGCACCACUGUACUAUUAGCUUAAAAGAAAUUUACAAAAAGAUUUAUAGUUAAAAUUUUGGGAAUUAAUAUUGUAUUAGAAAAAUUAAUGAAAAAAUAAUUACAUGCUCAGUUUAUAUCAGCAAAAUAUCGGUACAAGAAUAUAACACAACAUAUGGCAAACAAUAUACCCACAAAUAUCGCAAAUACUCGUAUAAUCGAAUAAUCAAAAAGUACAUCAAAAGUAAAAAAUUAGAAAAAGAAAAACAAAAAGAAAAGAAAACUCUACAAAACUCACGAAAGGAACUCGAUCAACUCAACUCAACAGCAGCAACGAUUGUGGCACCAGCAUUAGCACCACCAAGCACCACCAGCACAUUUCUUCAGUUCUUAUAUGCAGUGAGCUUAACGCAACUUGAUGUCUACAAGUCGGAUAAUCAUCGCCUGAAGGAGGAGAACGCUGCGUUGAUUAGAGUAAUUAGUAAAUUAAGUAAAUGAAAUUAUGUUUUAACUUAAAUUUACUCGCGCCUUUAUCAACAAUACCAACAAAAUAAAAGCAACAAUUUCAUUGAAGCGAUCCGUCGACGCUGGCAAAAGGAAAUUAAAUUAACUAAAUUAUAUGUAGAACGGAAAAGGAGGCAGAAAGAUGAAAAGAAGGGAAAGAUUUGUUUAUACAAUAAUAUUACUAUUAUUAUUAUGAUUAUUAUUAUUAUUAUUUUUGUGUGUUUAGGCAUUUAAGCGCUAGAUGAAACCAUGUUUCGAAAAUCGUUGAAAAUUGUUUGUUUUUUUCUUUAAUUUUUCUCUUUCUCUUCGUCUCUCUUCCAUAAUAAAUAUUAUAUUGAAAGAAUGAAAAUUCAUUUUAUGUAUUUGGUCAAAUUAUAAACGAAUAGAAAAAAUUAUAAACAAGAAAACCUAAUUAUAAUUAUGAAUGUUGUAUAACGGAUAAUUUCAAAUAAAAAAAGGAAAACAAACAAAACCUUUAAAUACAAACGAAAAAAAAACUGAGAACAUAUUCAUCAAAUGAGCCCUAGUUACAGAUUAGUUUAACUAUAUAAAAUACAUAUUUAAACAUAUAUAUUUUUCAUAUAUACAUUCACUCACACACACAAACAUAAAUUAUAUACAUAUACACACACACAUACAUACAUAUUUGAAGGAAAACAAGAAAGUUUGUGAGAAAUGUUUUGAAACCAGCCCACGCAACAACAACUUACUAAUUGUAACGCUGUAAUUUGUUUUUUAAAAAACUUAAAACUCAUUUAGUUAUAAACAAUAAACAUGUAAUCAAUCAGUGUUAAAACUUUAGUUAUAUGCAUAUGCAAUAUUUAAGCAUUGAUAAACCAGCUAUGCAACUGGAAUCUGAGAUACAGUAUCUUAUAUUAAAACUGGCGCUCUAUAAAUGCAUACAAAUGUUAUAUGCCACAUAAUGUUGCAUAUGUGUAUGAAACGAUUUAAUUGAUUAUUAUGUUAACUUUAGUUGUUCACUUUGAAACGUAUUAUAUAUACCGUACUAUACUUAUUUGACUUUCGCUUAUACAUAUAUAAUUGUAAUGAAACACAUGAUCAUACGCAUAUUUCUGUUAUUUAUUAAAUUCGUUUAAGAGAUUUUGUGUUACUCGUGAAAGAAAUACGAUAAACAACAAACUGAAAAACAAAAAUACAUAUGAAAAAAAGAAAACAAAAAAAAGCAAGUGAAAUGUGUAAUAUGUAAAAUUGUGAGAAAAUAUUUAAGAAAAUUUGAUUCAAAUACGAAACUUAAUAAAUGUGAUCGCAAAGUAAAA
Molecule: RNA transcript, 6195 nt
Organism: Drosophila innubila
Lineage: Eukaryota; Metazoa; Arthropoda; Insecta; Diptera; Drosophilidae
Gene: Mbs
Gene name: protein phosphatase 1 regulatory subunit 12A
Exons: 20
Source: RefSeq, a predicted model, not a curated record